GAUGCACUAGACCUGACCAGAUAUGGCUAGAUAUUUAUUUAUAUUUUUCGUAUUUGGCGUUUGGAAAUCAAUUGUGGCAACAACCCCAUAUAAAGUCCCCCGAUGUCCUGAGAUACAAACUUACAAAUGUUCAGCUUUAUUUACGAAUAAAUGUGGCCAUUUGAAUUAUUGUCCGAAAGGUCAAGUUUGCUGUCCAUUUGCUUCAUCAACAGGAUGUGGCAAGAUGUGUAUUAAUAUCGGUGCUCCACCGCCGCCACCACCACCACCAC
Mytilus californianus (California mussel) is the source of this 269-nucleotide long non-coding RNA. RefSeq lists it as uncharacterized. The record is from RefSeq and is a predicted model, not a curated record. NCBI's taxonomy places the organism in Eukaryota, Metazoa, Mollusca, Bivalvia, Mytilida, Mytilidae. The transcript has 3 exons.